ACCGUGCCAGCAGCCGCGGUAAUACGGAGGGUGCAAGCGUUAAUCGGAAUUACUGGGGGUAAAGCGCACGCAGGCGGUCUGUCAAGUCGGAUGUGAAAUCCCCGGGCUCAACCUGGGAACUGCAUUCGAAACUGGCAGGCUAGAGUCUUGUAGAGGGGGGUAGAAUUCCAGGUGUAGCGGUGAAAUGCGUAGAGAUCUGGAGGAAUACCGGUGGCGAAGGCGGCCCCCUGGACAAAGACUGACGCUCAGGUGCGAAAGCGUGGGGAGCAAACAGG
RNAcentral lists this ribosomal RNA (275 nucleotides) under uncultured Enterobacteriaceae bacterium. Its description in RNAcentral is "partial 16S ribosomal RNA". It matches the Rfam family "Bacterial small subunit ribosomal RNA", at positions 502 to 776 of the family's 1533-position model. Lineage: Bacteria; Pseudomonadati; Pseudomonadota; Gammaproteobacteria; Enterobacterales; Enterobacteriaceae. The record is from RNAcentral.